Molecule: ribosomal RNA, 253 nt
Filed under: uncultured bacterium
Lineage: Bacteria
Description: partial 16S ribosomal RNA
Rfam family: Bacterial small subunit ribosomal RNA
Source: RNAcentral
AACGUAGGGUGCAAGCGUUAUCCGGAUUCACUGGGUGUAAAGCGCGUGUAGGUGGUCCCGUAAGUUGGACGUGAAAUCUCCUGGCUUAACUGGGAGAGGCCGUUCAAUACUGCGAGACUGGAGGGCAGGAGAGGGAGGUGGAAUUCCCGGUGUAGUGGUGAAAUGCGUAGAUAUCGGGAGGAACACCAGUGGCGAAGGCGGCCUCCUGGCCUGCUCCUGACACUGAGACGCGAAAGCUAGGGGAGCGAACGGG